UCAGAUAUUAUUUUAGAUAUUAUGAUGGUCAUAUAAGGCGGCGAAUUUAUCCGGACAGCAUAACCGAAUUGAGUCGUUUUUGUCAAGCUACUGAUGUCUUUGUAGAAACAGCGUACUCUUUGCGAUAGGGUAGCUAUUGGAGAUGUAUAGUCCGUAACAAGAUCUCCGGGGAGAAAUAGUUCUCCUACAGGAAUGACACUAUGAUGAUCUGAUGACCUCACUUGAUUACCAGCCUGUGCCACGAAAGGGAGAACUGCGGAAGCACUUCAGACGCUUUUGUCAUGGUUCGUACGGGCAGGUUCACAGCACAUUGCUUUCUUCUAGGAAGCAAAACACCUUGCCCUUAUCGGACUGUAAACGCUUUUGUCGUUCAGCGAAAAUGCAGCGGAAAAGCGCUGAGAUCCUAAUUCGAGCUUAAUUCACAAGGCUAUCACUCUACGGGGCUCAGCAGUCGUGAACGUCAAUUCCGAGGUUCUUAAAUGUCCUCAGUAUGAAGUGUGCAUAGACCGCUACUGAGAAGAACCGCAAGCUGUUUAUGUAGUAAAGAAUUUCGUUGAUCAGAUUGUAUCAGUGAGCUGGGUCAAUAAAAGACUAAUUGAAUACCGGGUUGAUGGCAUACGAGGCUGUGAUUGAGAACGACACUCUGACCCAAAACAAUCUAAAGACCCCUAUUUCACUUCACUUCUAUAGCGUGCUUCCCGUAGCAUCAGAGUACGAUUUCUAUUACACUAGAACUAAGCCAAUCGAUGAGAUCGACUGUAAUUUUUUCUCUAACUUAACAACACUGUGAAUUGGCUUAUAAACAUUACGGUAAAAAGGGGCAAUAGUGUAAUUAGUUGUAAAAUGAAUUUGUCUUGGAUUUCCUACAUUAGUAAUAGCAAGUACAAUUGUUAUUAUUCCAGUAGCAUUUUUUUUUUUUCUAUUUUUAGCUAAUUGCUAAUUUUUAGCUAAUGUAACGCUUGAACAAAUACCCAGUGCCUUUUGACAAAUUUACUUUUAUCAGCUUUUAUUGGCUUCAACUGUUAUUGGCAAAACUAGGCAAUAUUUAGGACUAUUUCCCUCGAAGGCAAGCUUUGCCUGCUCUUUCAUGACGGCCAAUUAAUUCGUAUCUUACAUCACAUUAGCUGGACUAUAAAGUUGCUAACGUCUUAUAAAUCUGAAGAGCGAGCGAGCUGACUGGAAAAGGGAAUGCUUUGUGCCAGUAAGAUUGGUUGCGUCUGAUGGUUUUACUGGGCUUACAUCAGCCAGUUGGACGAUGAUUUCUUUUAAUCUCGCGUCGUCUUGUUCGGCUAUUUACAUUUUAGCACAGAGUUUUAACGCCGCACAGUAUCAUCAUAGAGUACCCACAUAUAUAGGAUACUCGCUCUACGUAGUUGUGCAGCUUGCUUUGUAAUUAUAAGCCUUGUUACGCUUAGGUCGCGAGCCGCCAUGGCCUUUAAAUAGCAUUUACCCAUACCUAUAUUGUACGCGAGACAAUUUAUAAUAUUUGCGCGCUAAACCAAUAGCUUCUGCCCGCUGUUAUCGACCAAAAUUCUCCAAAGCACCGUGCGUGUUGAAUGCUUCUUCGUUUACUUCACUAGCCAUAAACAGCAAUCAUGCUUGGUAACACUGUACCUAUGGGACUUUCAAAAAUUUCUAUGAAUGUGUAUGUGCGAAGGGUGAAUUUGGAAAAAUAUUUUUUAAAAAAUGUUCGAUAUACUUUGUCAAAAGUGAACUUCAUAAGCAGCCAAUCAUUUUACUUGCUCUAUUCUGAAGAUCGCAGGCCGUGCUUUGGCGACUAAGAUCAAACGUCUGUGGCCAGUUUCACUUUGUGCGAAUCAUUAGGCCUCUCGAAAACCGCGCAGGCUAAGAUACUCAAAUUGUAAAAAAUCAACUCUUCCAGACAGGACAACUACCUGCUUAAACAUACUGAUUGAAAUAACUUAGGUCCUCUGAAAUUUACCUGGGUUGUAAACUGGGGACGGUGGAGUAUCGCUGUUCGGUUGAGAGAAGUUUCGUCUGGACUUCGAGGCAUAGCAACAGGUCCAUGCAAUAAUCGCUCGUAUUUCCAAUAUCGUUGGAAAAAUUAUCAGUCUGGGUUACACUGAAAGCAUCCCAGAAGACAGUGACCCAAGCUUUUCAGCGAACUUCCGUGCUCUAUAGACACAUAUUAUGUAUCGAUACGUGUACUGAUCCCCAACGAGGCAACUCCAAGAGUUCGUGUGAACAUGUAUGUAACUGGCAAAGUUAAUCAAGUUGCACGUCACUUUUUUCUAUAAGUGGAGCAGAUUAAACGAACGCAUUAUUAGUUACGAGUGUAGGCCAAUAAAAUUUGAGUUCUUAGAAAGCGGAAAGUUCAUCCUAGAUGUAGGAUAGGAAUCGACGUUUUAACAAUGGUCAAUAUGGUAGCCCAUUUCAAUUAGGUUUUUUCAUCUCAAUAUGUCGACGUAAAACUAUUGAUGACCAGUGACCAAUUUUCGGCCAGAACAUUGCUUGUCCGAUCAUUUUUCGAACAGCCAUGUCGGUUGGUAUUGGUAUACUGGUAGCGUCUAACAGUCAUAGCGUUUAUUAAUUAAAGCUUUUUUCUAACGAUUCUACUGACUUUUAUUUACCCGACUGCUUUCAUUUGUUCUGAUGGCACAUUGGCUUUUCUACUCUCGAUUUCAGACCUGGUUCAAUUUCUACUUUCAUAUGAGUUUUUGCAGAUUUGUUGAUUUAAUAUAUAUGAAGUACAAGAUCUCUAUUAACAGGCUUCGUUUCAGUUGGCAGCUGGUCGAUUUAAGUAAGUUCGAAUAAGAGUACUUAUUAACGUAUAACAGUUUAGCUUAUCUCGCGACGGUCGAAAAUUAGCUCAUUAGAAAGAUCCUAGAGAAACUAAAUGGCCAACAGCUUUCUCACUGGGACAUUGCUUCUGGUUGAUGAGUUUUUGCCAUGUCCAACAUUCUACGAAAGGCUACUCCCUAUUCAGGACUGACUCUGAAACCCAGGUUCUGUCGACGAUUGGAAACGCACGUUUACGUCGCUGUAGGUAGCGACAAACGAGACACAUCUGCUGAAGAUAUUUCAAGACCGUCAUGCCAAACGUUUCUAGACUUCAGUGGAAUAUACAUUUGUUUUGAUCUCGUCGAUGACGCCAUUUGGGCAGCAGAAAUGUUCAAAAGUGCUGAUGCAGUGUGAAGAGAACUCAUAUUUGCCAGCAGCAGUUAAGGCUGUACCUUUCAUGUAAAUAGGUGUGACGAACAAGCCUUGAUGACAUGUAGGCUUCUAUUAACUGAUAUCGAAAACGCACAGUCUAGACGGGCGCGCUGCUACACACUGACCUUGUGGACUUCAAAACGACUUUCGAUUUGGUGCCAUCGUUUUGAGGUUUUUGGCUAGAGGAAUAGUAUCCAGAAAAUUGCUGAGGCAUAUAAUCGCUGCCCUUUAAGAAAACCAGAUAAGAAUCGAUGAUGGCUUAGGGAAAGUUUUCCCUUUCCCUCCAACAACAAACUUCGCGCAGGACAAUGGCCUCAAACCUCUACUGUGCUCGGCACCUUUGGAGGAUUUGCUAGCUGAAAUCCAAAGACCAAGAACCCUCGUGAACGUAAUUUUAUACGCAGACAGCUACGUGUAAAAUCAGACGCUCCCAAGAUUAGUAAUCGGUAGCUAAGCUGCAUGUAAUCCCAGUAGAAUUCGGCUUAGCUGAGAAUUUGAUAAAAACAGUAACGAUGAAGUUUAGAAGCUUCUCAAAACGCUAUCUCUAUCGCAAAAUCGCUGCUCGACUACAUAGGCAAUUUUCCCUGUGUAAAAACCCUUCUCUCAUUCAAUGGUAGAUGUUCUCCGUUGCCGUCACAGAGAGACAUAAAAACGUAAUGCUAACGAUAUCAACUAUUAACAAUCUCCAUCUCCUCUUAGUCACUAGUGCUCACUGGCUAUUCGACUGCAAAAAAAGCCACGGCACAGAGAUCAUAUAGAAGGGCGGCCUUCUUGUAAACUUGCAGUACGUAAAUUAGCUCAAAGCUGGGUGUUGAAGCAUGUUUCUUGACUCCACCGCUCGGCACGAAAUCAGCUAGUUGUCUUUUUACCCUGUUCGUACCCGCCCCUGUUUAUCAAGGAGUAAAAACGACAAUUUUACAUUUCGCUUACACCUUUAAUGAACGCCUAGCUAUUCGGGAGGCCACAUUCACGGAACUAGACGCCGUGGUCUACAAGUCUGAAGGUGUGUAAGACCGCGCAUGAAUGGCACUAGAUCACUCAAAUCGCCGAACUAUAGUCAAGCGCCUGGUGCGUGGCUUCUACUAUCUGCAACAAGUUAAACAACAUGUAAUUCCGAAUUUUCAGGAACCAAAUAAAAUAUGCAUGUGUAUAAGGUACGGGGCAUAGUGUGAUCAAUAUUACGCUUCUUGAGUUCUUGAUGGGCUUUGUAAGGGGAACCUAGCGCCUUACCCAUUCCCACACAAUAUAUUACUUCGGAUAAUAUUUUUAUACAAAACAUCGUUAUGUAGUAUAUGUUUGUGAUUUACUUAAAUAAUAAUAAAAGUAAAUACAUUCCGCUGAACUGCACCCAUCAUGCAAAUUGCAUGAGAAAACGCCCGGAAAGUUCGUUGAAUUGAAUUGUAACUUGAAAGGUUUCAUAGGAUAAGGGGCGUCUUCUGUCUAAGUAAAAACACGAUUUUUUUAUAAUAUUAUUUUUGGCCCACUACAGACAUCACAAACGCUUAGCGUUUGUGUAUCUUUUUCUACAAACCUGCUGAAGAUGUUUAUCCUCAGAGGCGUUACAGAAUGUGUUAAAAAAUGAUAGCAGCUUUCGGCUGCAGUAAGCCGUAUUAAAAUCUCCACAACAGAUAGGUAGAGAGCGAGAGAGAAGGGGAGAGUGUGUCUUUUUUCGCGUUUUUUCCAGUGCCACACCCACAGAAUUAAGCAGGUAAGCGAAUUUAUUCGGCAUACUGCUAAAAGCCAUAAGCUUACCAAAAAGUUAAAAAUGGCUCAAGGAAACCCUGGAUGAGCUCGAAAGAGCAUGUUAUUUAGGUGGAAAAUAGUAUUGAGUAAGCCUGUUUCUACUACUUCUAAUUAUAAUUAUACGCUAUAAACUUCAUAGCGGUUAUCCUGUUCUAGACUAGAAUAAAUCAAGUUCUAAAA
This is a non-coding RNA of Varroa destructor (honeybee mite), 5097 nucleotides long. The record is from RefSeq and is a predicted model, not a curated record. Lineage: Eukaryota; Metazoa; Arthropoda; Arachnida; Mesostigmata; Varroidae.